UGGGAUUGCACAGACAACCAGGAUGUUGGCUUAGAAGCAGCCACUCAUUCAAAGAGUGCGUAAUAGCUCACUGGUCGAGUGAUCCUGCGCCGAAGAUUUCUGGGGCUAAAACUUACUACCGAAGCUACGGCAUCAGUAAUGAUGGGUAGGGGAGCUUCCCAUACGGGUUGAAGCAUGACCGUAAGGACAUGUGGACAGUAUGGGAGUGAGAAUGUUGGCAUGAGUAGCGAGAUGUGGGUGAGAAUCCCACAGGCCGUAAAC
Molecule: ribosomal RNA, 261 nt
Filed under: Clostridioides difficile
Lineage: Bacteria; Bacillati; Bacillota; Clostridia; Peptostreptococcales; Peptostreptococcaceae
Description: partial 23S ribosomal RNA
Rfam family: Bacterial large subunit ribosomal RNA
Source: RNAcentral